AUUGAACGCUGGCGGCAUGCCUUACACAUGCAAGUCGAACGGCAGCACGGGUGCUUGCACCUGGUGGCGAGUGGCGAACGGGUGAGUAAUACAUCGGAACAUGUCCUUUAGUGGGGGAUAGCCCGGCGAAAGCCGGAUUAAUACCGCAUACGAUCUACGGAUGAAAGCGGGGGACCUUCGGGCCUCGCGCUAUAGGGUUGGCCGAUGGCUGAUUAGCUAGUUGGUGGGGUAAAGGCCUACCAAGGCGACGAUCAGUAGCUGGUCUGAGAGGACGACCAGCCACACUGGGACUGAGACACGGCCCAGACUCCUACGGGAGGCAGCAGUGGGGAAUUUUGGACAAUGGGCGAAAGCCUGAUCCAGCAAUGCCGCGUGUGUGAAGAAGGCCUUCGGGUUGUAAAGCACUUUUGUCCGGAAAGAAAUCCUUGGCUCUAAUACAGUCGGGGGAUGACGGUACCGGAAGAAUAAGCACCGGCUAACUACGUG
RNAcentral lists this ribosomal RNA (486 nucleotides) under uncultured bacterium. RNAcentral's name for it is "partial 16S ribosomal RNA". It matches the Rfam family "Bacterial small subunit ribosomal RNA", at positions 30 to 507 of the family's 1533-position model. The record is from RNAcentral.